GGCUAUACAUGCAAGUCGAGCGAAUCGAUGGGAGCUUGCUCCCUGAGAUUAGCGGCGGACGGGUGAGUAACACGUGGGCAACCUGCCUAUAAGACUGGGAUAACUUCGGGAAACCGGAGCUAAUACCGGAUACGUUCUUUUCUCGCAUGAGAGAAGAUGGAAAGACGGUUUACGCUGUCACUUAUAGAUGGGCCCGCGGCGCAUUAGCUAGUUGGUGAGGUAAUGGCUCACCAAGGCGACGAUGCGUAGCCGACCUGAGAGGGUGAUCGGCCACACUGGGACUGAGACACGGCCCAGACUCCUACGGGAGGCAGCAGUAGGGAAUCUUCCGCAAUGGACGAAAGUCUGACGGAGCAACGCCGCGUGAACGAAGAAGGCCUUCGGGUCGUAAAGUUCUGUUGUUAGGGAAGAACAAGUACCAGAGUAACUGCUGGUACCUUGACGGUACCUAACCAGAAAGCCACGGCUAACUACGUGCCAGCAGCCGCGGUAAUACGUAGGUGGCAAGCGUUGUCCGGAAUUAUUGGGCGUAAAGCGCGCGCAGGUGGUUCCUUAAGUCUGAUGUGAAAGCCCACGGCUCAACCGUGGAGGGUCAUUGGAAACUGGGGAACUUGAGUGCAGAAGAGGAAAGUGGAAUUCCAAGUGUAGCGGUGAAAUGCGUAGAGAUUUGGAGGAACACCAGUGGCGA
This 688-nucleotide ribosomal RNA is filed under the name Peribacillus simplex. Its description in RNAcentral is "bacterial SSU rRNA". It matches the Rfam family "Bacterial small subunit ribosomal RNA", at positions 45 to 718 of the family's 1533-position model. Lineage: Bacteria; Bacillati; Bacillota; Bacilli; Caryophanales; Bacillaceae. The record is from RNAcentral.